RNAcentral lists this ribosomal RNA (492 nucleotides) under uncultured bacterium. RNAcentral's name for it is "partial 16S ribosomal RNA". It matches the Rfam family "Bacterial small subunit ribosomal RNA", at positions 29 to 507 of the family's 1533-position model. The record is from RNAcentral.
AGUGAACGCUGGCGGUAGGCCUAACACAUGCAAGUCGAACGGCAGCACAGUAAGAGUUUGCUUCUACGGGUGGCGAGUGGCGGACGGGUGAGGAAUACAUCGGAAUCUACUUUUUCGUGGGGGAUAACGUAGGGAAACUUACGCUAAUACCGCAUACGUCCUACGGGUGAAAGCAGGGGUUCUUCGGACCUUGCGCGAUUGAAUUAGCCGAUGUCGCAUUAGCUAGUUGGCGGGGUAAAGGCCCACCAAGGCGACGAUCCGUAGCUGAUCUGAGAGGAUGAUCGGCCACACUGGAACUGAGACACGGUCCAGACUCCUACGGGAGGCAGCAGUGGGGAAUAUUGGACAAUGGGCGCAAGCCUGAUGCAGCCAUACCGCGUGGGUGAAGAAGGCCUUCGGGUUGUAAAGCUCUUUUGUUGGGGAAGAAAAGCAGCAGGUUAAUACCCCGCUGUUCUGACGGUACCCAAAGAGUAAGCACCGGCUAACUUCGUG